CUUGUUGCCCACAAUGACCAUGGAGUGCCCCCACCUGUGCAGUGCCCCAGAGGGAACGCCCUGUGCAGCAGACAAGGACAGGGCACGACUCAAUCUCCUUGUUAUCAUGGCAGUUUCCUCCAUAUUACGAGUGCCUGUCAGGCAUCUCCUUGCCCGAUCAACUGUUGUGACACUGCGAAGCAGAUGCAGUGGUUGCAGAGAGCUGUCACGGUGCAGCACGUGCUUCGGUCUGCCUUGCCUUCAGGGCUUGUGGGAACACUGUGUAAAGGCUCGACAAAGACCAUUAGUUGUAUGGGUGGGUGGAAGAGGUACUCACAUGGGCAUGAAGUGGGGCAAGGCGCCAGAAAGGGCCCUCAGAGACAGCAUGAUCUGGCUGGUCACCCACUAGCAGCCGCAGCUCUUGCAAUUGGGCGAGGCGCUGGCGGCUGCGCAGGGCCAACAACCGCUGCACGCCCACUCCUGUCUUCACAUCUUCAUC
This 478-nucleotide long non-coding RNA is filed under the name Coccomyxa subellipsoidea. RNAcentral's name for it is "long non-coding RNA (CSUB_LNC000656)". Lineage: Eukaryota; Viridiplantae; Chlorophyta; Trebouxiophyceae; Coccomyxaceae. The record is from RNAcentral.